Vicia faba (fava bean) is the source of this 210-nucleotide non-coding RNA. The record is from the annotation of a GenBank genome assembly. Lineage: Eukaryota; Viridiplantae; Streptophyta; Magnoliopsida; Fabales; Fabaceae.
AUGGCAAUGGCUAUCAACGCUGCUUUCUACAUCGCAAAGAUGACUUGGCUAGCUCUCGCUGGUUGGAUCACUUCUUGCUUGACUGUUGCUGAUGAAUUUGCUUCUUCUCUUCGCUCUGGGGAUAUUGGUCCCUUCCAUGUUCUUGUUGUUAUUGAGGGGUUUUCUGGUAAAUUCAAUUACAAGCAAAAUCAUUUGUUUCUCGGUUCUUAA